GUAGUCCACGCCGUAAACGUUGGGAACUAGAUGUAGGGACCAUUCCACGGUUUCUGUGUCGCAGCUAACGCAUUAAGUUCCCCGCCUGGGGAGUACGGUCGCAAGACUAAAACUCAAAGGAAUUGACGGGGGCCCGCACAAGCGGCGGAGCAUGCGGAUUAAUUCGAUGCAACGCGAAGAACCUUACCAAGGCUUGACAUAUAGAGGAAACGUGCAGAAAUGUACGCCCCGCAAGGUCUCUAUACAGGUGGUGCAUGGUUGUCGUCAGCUCGUGUCGUGAGAUGUUGGGUUAAGUCCCGCAACGAGCGCAACCCUCGUCCUAUGUUGCCAGCACGUUAUGGUGGGAACUCAUGGGAGACUGCCGGGGUCAACUCGGA
This 377-nucleotide ribosomal RNA is filed under the name uncultured bacterium. RNAcentral describes it as "bacterial SSU rRNA". It matches the Rfam family "Bacterial small subunit ribosomal RNA", at positions 790 to 1167 of the family's 1533-position model. The record is from RNAcentral.